CGGCAUGCUUAACACAUGCAAGUCGAACGGUAACAGGUCUAGCUUGCUAGAUGCUGACGAGUGGCGGACGGGUGAGUAACGCGUGGGAAUCUGCCUUCUAGUGGGGGAUAGCCCGGAGAAUCCGGAUUAAUACCGCAUACGCCCUACGGGGGAAAGCCGGGGAUCUUCGGACCUGGCGCUAGUAGAUGAGCCCGCGUGAGAUUAGCUUGUUGGUGGGGUAAUGGCCUACCAAGGCAACGAUCUCUAGCUGGUCUGAGAGGACGAUCAGCCACACUGGGACUGAGACACGGCCCAGACUCCUACGGGAGGCAGCAGUGGGGAAUAUUGGACAAUGGGCGAAAGCCUGAUCCAGCAAUGCCGCGUGUGUGAAGAAGGCCUGAGGGUUGUAAAGCACUUUCAAUCGUGAAGAAAAGUUGCAGGCUAACUACCCUGUGACCUUGACGUUAACGAUACAAGAAGCACCGGCUAACUCCGUG
This 476-nucleotide ribosomal RNA is filed under the name uncultured bacterium. RNAcentral describes it as "bacterial SSU rRNA". It matches the Rfam family "Bacterial small subunit ribosomal RNA", at positions 40 to 507 of the family's 1533-position model. The record is from RNAcentral.